Molecule: transfer RNA, 86 nt
Filed under: Holosporales bacterium
Lineage: Bacteria; Pseudomonadati; Pseudomonadota; Alphaproteobacteria; Holosporales
Description: tRNA-Leu
Rfam family: tRNA
About the family: Transfer RNA (tRNA) molecules are approximately 80 nucleotides in length. Their secondary structure includes four short double-helical elements and three loops (D, anti-codon, and T loops).
Source: RNAcentral
GCCCGUGUGGCGGAAUGGUAGACGCAGUAGACUUAAAAUCUGCGAACUGAAAAGUUGUGGGGGUUCGAGUCCCUCCACGGGCACCA